Cyanistes caeruleus (blue tit) is the source of this 447-nucleotide non-coding RNA. The record is from RefSeq and is a predicted model, not a curated record. NCBI's taxonomy places the organism in Eukaryota, Metazoa, Chordata, Aves, Passeriformes, Paridae.
GCUCCUGCCCUUCUUGUGGAGGUUUGUGCCUCUGACCCAGGCUCACUGUGGUGCUGAUGGAGCUGAGCCCUUCCUGGGCUUGCUGCGCUGUUGUGGGACUGUUCUCAACAUGCAACUGCUUUCUGUAAAGGUAACUCAGCUUCCUCUGAGCUCUGGGUUGUCCUGCAGUGCAGACACAUUCCCUGGGAGAGGUCCUAAUGGCUCAGAAGUGGCAGUGUUAUUUCAUCAAGAGAUGGAUUUUACUCUUAAUUAGCCAACAUGCCACCAGGGAUACUUCAGUCAUGGGUGUGAAAAAGCCUCCAGCAAAAGAUUGUUCCGUGGGAUUAAAAAAAAUAAUGUAUCAGUGACUUGGGGAUAAUUGGCAGCUUCGGUGAUGGAGCUAGAUGCUUCUGUGGACAGAAGGGUUUGACCAGCUGAAUUCAUGGCAAUAUUUUUCCCAAAACAGUA